Molecule: long non-coding RNA, 830 nt
Filed under: Ornithorhynchus anatinus (platypus)
Lineage: Eukaryota; Metazoa; Chordata; Mammalia; Monotremata; Ornithorhynchidae
Description: lncRNA (ENSOANG00000047103.1)
Source: RNAcentral
CAAUGCUGAUGAGUCCAGAGGAAGACCCGGACCCAUGUGUCUGAUCAAGAGGUGCCAUUCGUGGUUCCAGAAGGCAGGAAGGGGCUAUUAGAGAUAGAAAACGAACAGUAAGCAGAAGACUCGAGAAACGCCUGAUAUGCAAUACCGCCGGGCUAUGCCCCUUCCCCAGGACCCAGCUCUCACCAGGAUCGAUACAUCCCUUCACCCUGGAUUCACCCAGUAUGCACAGCUACAUCCAUCCCUCUCUAGAGAUGUGGUGAGAUAAACUUUUCUGUCAUACUACCUGAACUUUGAGAGGUGCUCCUUAUUGGGGGAUCACGUCCCAUGGUCUGGGUGUAUUUCUCGUACCAAGAUCGUUCAAUCUCUUCGUCCCCUUCACAUAGCGGUAGUAUUGCGGAGGACACCAUGUCCACUUCCACCGCAGAGAUCUUUGGAUAAGCCUUUACAAAGCUCCAGAACAAGGAUUCCUGGGAUGCGAUGGUUUCUGGCAACAGGAGAACUCUGCAGGAGAAAAGAACGGAGAACAUUCAGCCCAGGAGUUUUGCCCCAUCGUCGCCACGCCUGCCUGUCGAGCCCUUCAGAAGCGGCUCGCUCGUCCCUGCCUGGUCCAGACGCAACCUCAGCCCAGAGGGGAUACGACGCUGCCGGCCAACUGCUUCGCCGUCCGCUCGGAUCUCGCUCCCUCCCUGUUGCAGGAUGCGCGGCCCCGCCAGCCCCUUACCCAGCUCCGCGCGGAGCCAUGGGAAGGGGUCUCGGCCCCUCGGAAACAAGAAGACUGGACGGGGAAGCCCUAGCCGAGGGCUCUCCAGGAAGGCCUCGCUAGACAGCCC